GCGACCUAGCUUGGCACUGCGCCCGCCCGGCCGGAGCGAGGUCGGAGGGAGGGGCGACCGGCUCGCGGUGACCUCGAUGGGAGGGGGCCUGGCCUGCGGCUCAGGGCGCCCCCGGCUCCCUGCGCCCGGCCCUUCGCCUCCGCCGAGCGCGCCAGCACAGGAAGGCGGCGGUCAGGAGCCCCAGGCCCGCACUGAGCGCGGCCAGCGACGAGCCCUGGGCCAGGUCCAGGCGGGGUCCCCGCAGCGAGAAGGUGAUGGCCGUGGCGGCUGCACCAGCCAGCACGGCUACGGCACCGAACGGCAGAAUGCAGCGCGGCCACGAGCCCCCCGCGCCGCCGGUGACCAAGAGCAGGGCGCGCAGGGCCCCGGGGGGCUCCGGGUGCACCAGACCCGGCCCGGGUGGCGAGGCGGGCGCCGCGGGCGGAGGCUCGGGCGCGCUCAUGCCGCCAACCCGGCGGCCGCGCUCGGUGGGUGGUGUGGACGCCCGCGCAGUCCCAAUGGCGUUCCGGGCUCGCCACGUCAGAGCCCAUUGGCUCCAGAGGUGGUGACGCCAGCUGGGAGCCCGGAGAGUCAGCAGCUGCCUCUGGGUUUUGGCGGGGAAUCGGGGUGGGCGGGCAUCAGUCGGAGGAGGAGACCUGUCUUUCCUGCCCUGGACCCCUGUGUAGGGGCCUCCCCAGGACCCCCACAAAGCUAUCUAGGCCGCCUCCCUGCUCCAGGAAACCACUGUCCUCUGGGUUGGCCCCGGGAUUGGUGGAUCAUUGAGUCAGUGCACGUCUGGCUCCCAUCAGGGCCUGACCAGGGUAGAGGGGGACAGCACCCCCGUCCUCCUGAGGCAAAUAUCCAGUAGGCAUGGGGGAUGAGCCAAGUCAGCCAGUGAAAUAAGGCUGGGUAGAGACCACCUGCUCUGGAAAGCCGCACGGGUGUACAGUCCCGGCGCAGUUGGGGCUUCAAGUAAGUCAGCGGCUCCUGCAGAUAGGGGCACCUGGAGCAGCUCCUGCAUAUAAGCCUGGAG
Molecule: long non-coding RNA, 1012 nt
Filed under: Piliocolobus tephrosceles (Ugandan red Colobus)
Lineage: Eukaryota; Metazoa; Chordata; Mammalia; Primates; Cercopithecidae
Description: lncRNA (ENSPTEG00000031946.1)
Source: RNAcentral